Molecule: ribosomal RNA, 253 nt
Filed under: uncultured bacterium
Lineage: Bacteria
Description: partial 16S ribosomal RNA
Rfam family: Bacterial small subunit ribosomal RNA
Source: RNAcentral
UACGAAGGUGGCUAGCGUUGUUCGGAUUUAUUGGGCGUAAAGGGUCCGCAGGCGGUUUGAUAAGUCAGGUGUGAAAUCCCACAGCUUAACUGUGGACACGCACUCGAUACUGUCAGACUUGAGUAUGAGAGGGGUAAGAGGAAUUUCCAGUGUAGGGGUGAAAUCCGUAGAUAUUGGAAAGAACACCGGCCGCGAAGGCGUCUUACUGGCUCAUUACUGACGCUCAGGGACGAAAGCCAGGGGAGCAAACGGG